This 932-nucleotide ribosomal RNA is filed under the name Vibrio parahaemolyticus. RNAcentral describes it as "partial 23S ribosomal RNA". It matches the Rfam family "Bacterial large subunit ribosomal RNA", at positions 23 to 1007 of the family's 2925-position model. Lineage: Bacteria; Pseudomonadati; Pseudomonadota; Gammaproteobacteria; Vibrionales; Vibrionaceae. The record is from RNAcentral.
GGUGGAUGCCUUGGCAGUCAGAGGCGAUGAAAGACGUAGUAACUUGCGAUAAGCCCAGAUUAGGUAGUAACAACCAUUUGAGUCUGGGAUUUCUGAAUGGGGAAACCCACGUGCAUAAGCACGUAUCCUUACCUGAAUACAUAGGGUAAGGAGGCGAACCGGGGGAACUGAAACAUCUAAGUACCCCGAGGAAAAGAAAUCAACCGAGAUUCCGAAAGUAGCGGCGAGCGAAAUUGGACUAGCCCUUAAGCUUUACACGCGUUAGACGAACGGUCUGGAAAGUCCGACGAUACAGGGUGAUAGUCCCGUAGUUGACGACGUGUGUUCAGUGAAAUCGAGUAGGGCGGGACACGUGAUAUCCUGUCUGAAUAUGGGGGGACCAUCCUCCAAGGCUAAAUACUACUGACUGACCGAUAGUGAACCAGUACCGUGAGGGAAAGGCGAAAAGAACCCCUGUGAGGGGAGUGAAAUAGAACCUGAAACCGUGUACGUACAAGCAGUAGGAGCAGGCUUUGUCCUGUGACUGCGUACCUUUUGUAUAAUGGGUCAGCGACUUAUAUUCAGUGGCAAGGUUAACCAUCUAGGGGAGCCGUAGGGAAACCGAGUCUUAACUGGGCGUUCAGUCUCUGGAUAUAGACCCGAAACCAGGUGAUCUAGCCAUGGGCAGGUUGAAGGUUGAGUAACAUCAACUGGAGGACCGAACCGACUAAUGUUGAAAAAUUAGCGGAUGACUUGUGGCUAGGGGUGAAAGGCCAAUCAAACCUGGAGAUAGCUGGUUCUCCCCGAAAGCUAUUUAGGUAGCGCCUCGGACGAAUACUACUGGGGGUAGAGCACUGUUAAGGCUAGGGGGUCAUCCCGACUUACCAACCCUUUGCAAACUCCGAAUACCAGUAAGUACUAUCCGGGAGACACACGGCGGGUGCUAACGUCCG